GAUGAAGAACGCAGCGAAAUGCGAUAAGUAAUGUGAAUUGCAGAAUUCAGUGAAUCAUCGAAUCUUUGAACGCACUUUGCGCCCUUUGGCCAUUCCGAAGGGCAUGCCUGUUUGAGUAUCAUGAACACCUCAACUCUUUAUGGUUUUCCAUGAUGAGCUUGGACUCUGGGGGUUUUGCUGGCUCACAGUCGGCUCCUCUAAAAUAAAUCAGCUUACCAGUGUUUGGUGGGUAUCAUGGGUGUGAUAACUAUCUACGCUUGUGGUUUUUCCACCAGGUAACCUUCAGCAGUGGAGGUUCGCUGGAGCUCAUAGACGUCUCUCCUCAGUGAGGACAGCCCUUUGAACGUUUGAUCUCAAAUCAGGUAGGACUACCCGCUGAACUUAAGCAUAUCCAAUAAGCGGAGGA
Molecule: unclassified non-coding RNA, 406 nt
Filed under: soil metagenome
Description: partial contains 5.8S ribosomal RNA, internal transcribed spacer 2, and large subunit ribosomal RNA
Rfam family: 5.8S ribosomal RNA (bases 1-121)
Source: RNAcentral